GCAAAACGCGAAGAACCUUACCCACCUUUGACAUGUACGGAAUCCUUUAGAGAUAGAGGAGUGCUCGAAAGAGAGCCGUAACACAGGUGCUGCAUGGCUGUCGUCAGCUCGUGUCGUGAGAUGUUGGGUUAAGUCCCGCAACGAGCGCAACCCUUGCCAUUAGUUGCUACGAAAGGGCACUCUAAUGGGACUGCCGGUGACAAACCGGAGGAAGGUGGGGAUGACGUCAAGUCCUCACGGCCCUUAUAGGUGGGGCUACACACGUCAUACAAUGGCUGGUACAAAGGGUUGCCAACCCGCGAGGGGGAGCUAAUCCCAUAAAGCCAGUCGUAGUCCGGAUCGCAGUCUGCAACUCGACUGCGUGAAGUCGGAAUCGCUAGUAAUCGUGGAUCAGAAUGUCACGGUGAAUACGUUCCCGGGUCUUGUACACACCG
This 434-nucleotide ribosomal RNA is filed under the name uncultured bacterium. RNAcentral describes it as "bacterial SSU rRNA". It matches the Rfam family "Bacterial small subunit ribosomal RNA", at positions 954 to 1392 of the family's 1533-position model. The record is from RNAcentral.